Molecule: transfer RNA, 60 nt
Filed under: Sphingomonadales bacterium
Lineage: Bacteria; Pseudomonadati; Pseudomonadota; Alphaproteobacteria; Sphingomonadales
Description: tRNA-Thr
Rfam family: tRNA
About the family: Transfer RNA (tRNA) molecules are approximately 80 nucleotides in length. Their secondary structure includes four short double-helical elements and three loops (D, anti-codon, and T loops).
Source: RNAcentral
UUAGCUCAGUUGGUAGAGCGCCAGUUUUGUAAACUGGAUGUCGCGGGUUCGAUUCCUGCA